This 300-nucleotide ribosomal RNA is filed under the name uncultured Peptostreptococcus sp. RNAcentral's name for it is "partial 16S ribosomal RNA". The stretch from base 62 to 300 matches the Rfam family "Bacterial small subunit ribosomal RNA", at positions 557 to 795 of the family's 1533-position model. The record is from RNAcentral. Lineage: Bacteria; Bacillati; Bacillota; Clostridia; Peptostreptococcales; Peptostreptococcaceae.
GGUAACGCGGGGGACGGAGGGGAGGGAGUAACGGGGGGGAAAGCGUGUAGCGGAAGGACGUGGCGUAAAGGGCAAGCAGGGGGUUGGAUAAGUGAGAUGUGAAAGACCCGGGCUCAAACUGGGAAUUGCAUUUAAAACUGUCCAGCUAGAGUCUUGUAGAGGGGGGUAGAAUUCCAGGUGUAGCGGGGAAAUGCGUAGAGAUCUGGAGGAAUACCGGUGGCGAAGGCGGCCCCCUGGACAAAGACUGACGCUCAGGUGCGAAAGCGUGGGGAGCAAACAGGAUUAGAUACCCCUGUAGUC